GAUUUAUUAGGAUGUCCUUCUGAAGGCGUUAGGGUGGAUUUCAGAACAAACUUGGAAGAAAGUGCUAGAAAAGGGAAGUGGACGUUGAGCCACCAACCAACACAAUCUGCCUCUCUAUUCUGAAGAUUUUGAGUAAGUCAGUCUUUUGCGAGUUGUGGGCUGCCACACAUGUGUCUCAGGAGAAAAACACCAUUUCAACAGGUUCUGAGAGACAAGACUUCAACAACAGAGGGCCAGGAAGAAUUGCGGAGUUCAAGCCAACCAAGGCAAAUUAACUAUCUCAUAGAAAGUUGCUGCUCAGUCCAUCCUAGAGGGAAUCAGUCCUGAACAUUCACUGGAAGAACUGAUGCUGAAGCUGAAGCUCCAAUACUUUGGCCACCUGAUGCGAAGAGCUGACUCACUGGAAAAGACCCUGACGCUGGGAAACAUUGAGGGCAGGAGGAGAAGGGGGCAACAGAGGAUGAGAUAAUUGGAUGGCAUCACCGACUCAAUGGACAUGAAUUUGAGCAAGCUCUGGGAGACUGAAGGACAGGGAAGCCUGGUGUGCUACAGUCCAUGGGGCCGCAAAGAGUUGGACACAACUGAGUUGACUGAACAACAGAAAGGAGUGAAUGUCUUGCCAUAACAGAAAGGACCCUCUUCUUUCUUUCCUUCAUGUAGUAUAUAAAUUGAGCAUUUCUUCUACAUCAGAAACUAGGGUACCAACUAAUCUAAAGCUAAGUAAGACAUGGUAGCUACUAAGGAGCUCUUACAACCUUGCCAAGGCUGCAAAACUUGUUGGCCAGGAAAUGCAGUCUUAUUGUAGGUGCUGUGCUAGACACAAGAGGCACCAGAACAUGCAAAGGGAGUGAGAAGUUCCACAGUCAUUAAAGGCAUAGGAAAAGGCAUAGAAAACUUAUAUGUUGAUUGGUCUUAAAAAUAAAGUUAUUGAAAAUUUUCUUAGUUGCCCUUACAUAUGUUAAGGCACAAUGGGUGAAGGGAGAGUCUGUACUAGUCUCAAAUUUUAUCCAGUGAGAUUGAUUCCUGUUACUCCCUUGCACAGGAACACAGUUUAUCUCAUAUUUCUUGUUUGUUUGUUUCCAUCUGUCUAGAGAGAUACAGGAACCAGUAAGUUCGUGGUUUCAGCACCAUUUGCCACAUUGCUCCCUGGGAUGCUUACCUCUGAGAAAGGCAAAGUCUUCUGAAAUUUAUCUAAUCAAUUUUUACCUAUUAUUGCUCUCUGUUACACUGCAUGGUGCUCAAAGUAUAAACUUACAAAAAUCUUAACCACAAGCAGAAAGCUGAUUUUUCUUCAUUUCUCUUUUUGAAAAUAUGAUGUCUACAUGAUUUUAAACACUUGGGAUGAUAAGGUUUAUUAACGGUGUGGUAAAAUUUUGUGAUAAUAGUCAAGUAAAAGUAAUGCAUACCCAAUUAUUCAGAAAACAAGAAUAUCUCACUCUAAGCAAGAAACUCUCUGUUAAAGUUAGCCAUCACAGAAUAGAUGCCUUCUAACCUGCUAAAACCCCUGAUGCUGAAAGUAGGAAAAGCACACUGGUAUUAACUAAGGAAGUCAAUAAAUAUCUUUAUUUUAGAAAGGUUAUUUGGAUUAUAUGACAUACCAUCUUGAAGAUUUUUAUCAUUCUAUCAAAUAUGGUUUAAAUAAAAAUAAUUCCUACAGUAAUCAGCUAGUUUAAAAGUCUCAAGGCAGCAAUAUCUGCUUGUUCUCCCACAUAAAAAAUGAAGGUAUCAAGAACAAGUACGUUAGUUUUGGCAUGUUUCCUUGCUUGUAACUUUUUACUAACUUAGCGCCUAUGAACUUUAAUGAAUAUGAGUAACACAGGGCCAAAAGCAUGAUAGUAAGCUGCGUCAUCCUCU
This 1854-nucleotide long non-coding RNA is filed under the name Ovis aries (sheep). Its description in RNAcentral is "lncRNA (ENSOARG00000025328.1)". The record is from RNAcentral. Lineage: Eukaryota; Metazoa; Chordata; Mammalia; Artiodactyla; Bovidae.